GCAAGUCUCAACAACAAUAAGAAAAAGUUAAGGUUGUUGAGGAUCAACCACAAGAAUAAUUUUUUGCAAUAUCAUGUUUUGCCAUCAAUUAUUCCAUAGAAUGUUGGCUCAUUGAUAGUGGUUGUAUAAACCACAUGACUUAUGAUCGAGGCUUUUCAGAGAACUUGACAAAACUGUUAUUUCCAAAGUCAGAAUUAGAAAUGGGGC
RNAcentral lists this long non-coding RNA (207 nucleotides) under Lupinus angustifolius (narrow-leaved blue lupine). RNAcentral's name for it is "long non-coding RNA (LANG_LNC000145)". The record is from RNAcentral. Lineage: Eukaryota; Viridiplantae; Streptophyta; Magnoliopsida; Fabales; Fabaceae.